CACGUACUACAAUGGUCGGUACAGAGGGUUGCAAUACCGCGAGGUGGAGCCAAUCCCAGAAAGCCGACCCCAGUCCGGAUCGAAGUCUGCAACUCGACUUCGUGAAGUCGGAAUCGCUAGUAAUCGCGGAUCAGCUAUGCCGCGGUGAAUACGUUCCCGGGCCUUGUACACACCGCCCGUCACACCAUGGGAGUGAGUUGCUCCAGAAGCCGUUAGUCUAACCGCAAGGGGGACGACGACCACGGAGUGGUUCAUGACUGGGGUGAAGUCGUAAACAAGGUAGCCGCAUCGGAAGGUGCGGCUGGAUCACCUCCU
This 315-nucleotide ribosomal RNA is filed under the name uncultured bacterium. Its description in RNAcentral is "bacterial SSU rRNA". It matches the Rfam family "Bacterial small subunit ribosomal RNA", at positions 1219 to 1531 of the family's 1533-position model. The record is from RNAcentral.